CCCUUAGAUGUUCUGGGCCGCACGCGCGCUACAAUGGCAGACUCAGCGAGUUACCUCUGUCGAAAGGCACGGGGAAUCUUUACAGUAUCUGCCGUGAUGGGGAUAGACCCUUGUAAUUUUUGGUCUUCAACGAGGAAUUCCUAGUAAACGCAAGUCAUUAACUUGCAUUGAUUACGUCCCUGCCCUUUGUACACACCGCCCGUCGCACCUACCGAUUGAAUGGUCCGGUGAAGUCCUCGGACCCAGUCGAACCUCGAGUUGAACAGGGAAAGUUGACUAAAUCUUACCAUUUAGAGGAAGGUGAAGUCGUAACA
This 314-nucleotide ribosomal RNA is filed under the name uncultured eukaryote. RNAcentral describes it as "partial 18S ribosomal RNA". It matches the Rfam family "Eukaryotic small subunit ribosomal RNA", at positions 1470 to 1796 of the family's 1831-position model. The record is from RNAcentral.